AUACUUGGUGUUCAGCAAAGCAAGAGUCGCUACAGAACCCAUUUUGUUUAAAGGACACGGACCAUGUUCUCAAAUAUAAUGUGUCAGAAAAUGCUGCUAGCGUUCACAUCGUUCUUAGUAAUUACCUGGAUGAUAUUUGUCAUUUCUCAAAAUUCUGCAAAGCUUUGGACCACUCUAAACACAGCCAUAUGUUUCCAUCCCUGGAACACAUCCAUGAAGUCCUCCUGUCCUGAAAUUCCAAUGAGCCAGUCAAAGUUACUACCAGUGAUUAAGCUAGAAGAGGAGAUCCCUAAAAUGACAGGCCACCAACAAGACAAGUCACCAACAGAGACAGAGCUGAAAGUCAGGGAGAUCCUGGAGAAGCUGGAUCGGCAGAUACCUCCCAGACCCUUCACCCACCUCAACUACACCACAAGCGCCACACACAGCACGGCCACCAUCCUCAACCCUCAAGAUACAUACUGUGUGGGGGACCUGCUGGACAUCCUAGUAGAGGCUAGAGACCACCUAGGAAACAGGAAGGGGUAUGGUGGGGACUUCCUGAGGGCCAGGAUGUUCUCCCCAGCCCUGAAGGCAGGAGCUUCUGGAAAGGUGACAGACUUCAACAAUGGCACCUACCUCGUCAGCUUCAUUCUGUUCUGGGAGGGCCCGGUCUCACUGUCUAUUCUGCUCGUGCACCCCAGUGAAGGGGUGUCAGCUCUCUGGAGAGCAAGGAACGAAGGCUACGGCAGAAUUGCUUUCAAAGGUGCUUUUGUUAAUGGCACGUCCCAGGUCACAGCUGAAUGUGGCCUGAUACUAGAGUCAAGCAGUGAGCUAUGCAAAUACCUGUACCGUGGUGGUGAGGAAGUCUUCUACUGCAUGAAACCUCAACACAUUCCCUGUGAGGCCCUGACCCAUGUGUGUACCAGGCAGCAAGGUGUUUCUUAUCUCACUGCCAAAGAAAAAGACCUUUUUCAGAACCUGAGCAAUCCUGCUAAGAAGUCAGCUCCCACCAGGCAUCAGCUCAUCUCCUGAGCAGGUUUGGCACAUGGGCCCUUCUUUGGGUAGAAGACUCCUCCAUUCUCCUCAAGUUGUGGCCUAGCAGUUCCUGGAAGCCCUCAGCUGCACAGGCUCCCCAAACCUAGUUGCCAGCAUGCCUCCUCCUGUCAAUCAAGGCCCUAAGACACCUAUCAGGUGGAAUUCUUUUUGUUUUCAUUCAGCCGAAAUCUAUACCCUCCCUCACACCGUCCACACACACACACAUUCACUCACUCACAUACACACUCACUCACUCACAUACACACUUACUCACUCACAUACACACUUACUCACUCACAUACACACUCACAUACACUCACACACAUAUACACAUUCACACACUCACACACAUUCACACACUCACACACUCUCAUACACAUUCACACACACAUACACUCACACACAUACAUACAUUCAUACACCCUCUCACACACUCACAUACACACUGAUACACACUCGCACACUCACAUAUAACCACACACACACACACACACACACACACACACACCACAUUUCAUUUUCCUUUACUUCAUAACAAAAUAAAAACAAUAGAUAGUU
RNAcentral lists this long non-coding RNA (1575 nucleotides) under Mus musculus (house mouse). Its description in RNAcentral is "predicted gene, 67490". Lineage: Eukaryota; Metazoa; Chordata; Mammalia; Rodentia; Muridae. The record is from RNAcentral.